CUCAGGAUGAACGCUGGCGGCGUGCCUAAUACAUGCAAGUCGAGCGAACAGAUAAGGAGCUUGCUCCUUUGACGUUAGCGGCGGACGGGUGAGUAACACGUGGGUAACCUACCUAUAAGACUGGGACAACUUCGGGAAACCGGAGCUAAUACCGGAUAAUAUGUUGAACCGCAUGGUUCAAUAGUGAAAGAUGGUUUUGCUAUCACUUAUAGAUGGACCCGCGCCGUAUUAGCUAGUUGGUGAGGUAACGGCUCACCAAGGCAACGAUACGUAGCCGACCUGAGAGGGUGAUCGGCCACACUGGAACUGAGACACGGUCCAGACUCCUACGGGAGGCAGCAGUAGGGAAUCUUCCGCAAUGGGCGAAAGCCUGACGGAGCAACGCCGCGUGAGUGAUGAAGGUCUUAGGAUCGUAAAACUCUGUUAUUAGGGAAGAACAAACGUGUAAGUAACUGUGCACGUCUUGACGGUACCUAAUCAGAAAGCCACGGCUAACUACGUGCCAC
RNAcentral lists this ribosomal RNA (506 nucleotides) under Staphylococcus lugdunensis. RNAcentral's name for it is "bacterial SSU rRNA". It matches the Rfam family "Bacterial small subunit ribosomal RNA", at positions 23 to 511 of the family's 1533-position model. The record is from RNAcentral. Lineage: Bacteria; Bacillati; Bacillota; Bacilli; Caryophanales; Staphylococcaceae.